GGGUUGUGAGGUUAAGCGACUAAGCGUACACGGUGGAUGCCCUGGCAGUCAGAGGCGAUGAAGGACGUGCUAAUCUGCGAAAAGCGUCGGUAAGGUGAUAUGAACCGUUAUAACCGGCGAUGUCCGAAUGGGGAAACCCAGUGCAAUUCGUUGCACUAUCGUUAACUGAAUACAUAGGUUAACGAGGCGAACCGGGGGAACUGAAACAUCUAAGUACCCCGAGGAAAAGAAAUCAACCGAGAUUCCCCCAGUAGCGGCGAGCGAACGGGGAGCAGCCCAGAGUCUGAAUCAGCUUGUGUGUUAGUGGAACGGUCUGGAAAGUCCGACGGUACAGGGUGAUAGUCCCGUACACCAAAAUGCACAGGCUGUGAACUCGAAGAGUAGGGCGGGACACGUGGUAUCCUGUCUGAAUAUGGGGGGACCAUCCUCCAAGGCUAAAUACUCCUGACUGACCGAUAGUGAACCAGUACCGUGAGGGAAAGGCGAAAAGAACCCCGGCGAGGGGAGUGAAAAAGAACCUGAAACCGUGUACGUACAAGCAGUGGGAGCACCUUCGGGUGUGACUGCGUACCUUUUGUAUAAUGGGUCAGCGACUUAUAUUCUGUAGCAAGGUUAACCAUAUAGGGGAGCCGCAGGGAAACCGAGUCUUAACUGGGCGUUAAGUUGCAGGGUAUAGACCCGAAACCCGGUGAUCUAGCCAUGGGCAGGUUGAAGGUUGGGUAACACUAACUGGAGGACCGAACCGACUAAUGUUGAAAAAUUAGCGGAUGACUUGUGGCUGGGGGUGAAAGGCCAAUCAAACCGGGAGAUAGCUGGUUCUCCCCGAAAGCUAUUUAGGUAGCGCCUCGUGAAUUCAUCUUCGGGGGUAGAGCACUGUUUCGGCUAGGGGGUCAUCCCGACUUACCAACCCGAUGCAAACUACGAAUACCGAAGAAUGUUAUCACGGGAGACACACGGCGGGUGCUAACGUCCGUCGUGAAGAGGGAAACAACCCAGACCGCCAGCUAAGGUCCCAAAGUCAUGGUUAAGUGGGAAACGAUGUGGGAAGGCACAGACAGCCAGGAUGUUGGCUUAGAAGCAGCCAUCAUUUAAAGAAAGCGUAAUAGCUCACUGGUCGAGUCGGCCUGCGCGGAAGAUGUAACGGGGCUAAACCAUGCACCGAAGCUGCGGCAGCGACACGAUGUGUUGUUGGGUAGGGGAGCGUUCUGUAAGCCUGCGAAGGUGACCUGUGAGGGUUGCUGGAGGUAUCAGAAGUGCGAAUGCUGACAUAAGUAACGAUAAAGCGGGUGAAAAGCCCGCUCGCCGGAAGACCAAGGGUUCCUGUCCAACGUUAAUCGGGGCAGGGUGAGUCGACCCCUAAGGCGAGGCCGAAAGGCGUAGUCGAUGGGAAACAGGUUAAUAUUCCUGUACUUGGUGUUACUGCGAAGGGGGGACGGAGAAGGCUAUGUUAGCCGGGCGACGGUUGUCCCGGUUUAAGCAUGUAGGCUGGUUAUCCAGGCAAAUCCGGAUAAUCAAGGCUGAGGUGUGAUGACGAGGCACUACGGUGCUGAAGUAACAAAUGCCCUGCUUCCAGGAAAAGCCUCUAAGCAUCAGGUAACAUCAAAUCGUACCCCAAACCGACACAGGUGGUCAGGUAGAGAAUACCAAGGCGCUUGAGAGAACUCGGGUGAAGGAACUAGGCAAAAUGGUGCCGUAACUUCGGGAGAAGGCACGCUGGUGUGUAGGUGAAGCCCCUGCGGGUGGAGCUGAGACCAGUCGAAGAUACCAGCUGGCUGCAACUGUUUAUUAAAAACACAGCACUGUGCAAACACGAAAGUGGACGUAUACGGUGUGACGCCUGCCCGGUGCCGGAAGGUUAAUUGAUGGGGUUAUCCGUAAGGAGAAGCUCUUGAUCGAAGCCCCGGUAAACGGCGGCCGUAACUAUAACGGUCCUAAGGUAGCGAAAUUCCUUGUCGGGUAAGUUCCGACCUGCACGAAUGGCGUAAUGAUGGCCAGGCUGUCUCCACCCGAGACUCAGUGAAAUUGAACUCGCUGUGAAGAUGCAGUGUACCCGCGGCAAGACGGAAAGACCCCGUGAACCUUUACUAUAGCUUGACACUGAACAUUGAGCCUUGAUGUGUAGGAUAGGUGGGAGGCUUUGAAGCGUGGACGCCAGUCUGCGUGGAGCCAACCUUGAAAUACCACCCUUUAAUGUUUGAUGUUCUAACGUUGGCCCCUGACCGGGGUUGCGGACAGUGUCUGGUGGGUAGUUUGACUGGGGCGGUCUCCUCCCAAAGCGUAACGGAGGAGCACGAAGGUUAGCUAAUCCUGGUCGGACAUCAGGAGGUUAGUGCAAUGGCAUAAGCUAGCUUGACUGCGAGCGUGACGGCGCGAGCAGGUGCGAAAGCAGGUCAUAGUGAUCCGGUGGUUCUGAAUGGAAGGGCCAUCGCUCAACGGAUAAAAGGUACUCCGGGGAUAACAGGCUGAUACCGCCCAAGAGUUCAUAUCGACGGCGGUGUUUGGCACCUCGAUGUCGGCUCAUCACAUCCUGGGGCUGAAGUAGGUCCCAAGGGUAUGGCUGUUCGCCAUUUAAAGUGGUACGCGAGCUGGGUUUAGAACGUCGUGAGACAGUUCGGUCCCUAUCUGCCGUGGGCGCUGGAGAAUUGAGGGGGGCUGCUCCUAGUACGAGAGGACCGGAGUGGACGCAUCACUGGUGUUCGGGUUGUCAUGCCAAUGGCACUGCCCGGUAGCUAAAUGCGGAAGAGAUAAGUGCUGAAAGCAUCUAAGCACGAAACUUGCCCCGAGAUGAGUUCUCCCUGAGACUUUAAGUCUCCUGAAGGAACGUUGAAGACGACGACGUUGAUAGGCCGGGUGUGUAAGCGCAGCGAUGCGUUGAGCUAACCGGUACUAAUGAACCGUGAGGCUUAACCUUACAACGCCGAAG
Molecule: ribosomal RNA, 2923 nt
Filed under: Klebsiella pneumoniae
Lineage: Bacteria; Pseudomonadati; Pseudomonadota; Gammaproteobacteria; Enterobacterales; Enterobacteriaceae
Description: 23S ribosomal RNA
Rfam family: Bacterial large subunit ribosomal RNA
Source: RNAcentral